This 331-nucleotide long non-coding RNA is filed under the name Homo sapiens (human). RNAcentral's name for it is "HSALNT0022064". Lineage: Eukaryota; Metazoa; Chordata; Mammalia; Primates; Hominidae. The record is from RNAcentral.
GGAAAUUUUAGUUAACAGAAUUAUUUUUUAUUUAGCAUUUUUAUGGACCAAUACAAUUUUAGGUGCUACAACAAUAACAAAAAAAACAACAACUGAAGUGCUUUCUCUUACACAUGGACACAGGGAGGGGAACAACACACACUGGGGCCUGUCAAGGGGUGUGGGGGAGGGAGAGCAUCAAGAAAAAUAGUUAAUCCAUGUUGGGCUUAAUACCGAGGUGUUGGGUUGAUAGGUACAGCAAACCACCAUGGCACACGUUUACCUAUGUAACAAACCUGCACAUCCUGCACAUGUACCCCAGAAGUUAAAAUUUUUUUAAGGUGAUUUCUCU